GAUGAACGCUGGCGGCGUGCCUAAUACAUGCAAGUCGAGCGAACAGACGAGGCACUUGCUCCUCUGACGUUAGCGGCGGACGGGGGAGUAAAACGUGGAUAACCUACCUAUAAGACUGGGAUAAAUUCGGGAAACCGGAGCUAAUACCGGAUAAUAUAUUGAACCGCAUGGUUCAAUAGUGAAAGACGGUUUUGCUGUCACUUAUAGAUGGAUCCGCGCCGCAUUAGCUAGUUGGUAAGGUAACGGCUUACCAAGGCAACGAUGCGUAGCCGACCUGAGAGGGUGAUCAGCCACACUGGAACUGAGACACGGUCCAGACUCCUACGGGAGGCAGCAGUAGGGAAUCUUCCGCAAUGGGCGAAAGCCUGACGGAGCAACGCCGCGUGAAUGAUGAAGGUCUUCGGAUCGUAAAACUCUGUUAUUGGGGAAGAACAAAUGUGUAAGUAACUAUGCACGUCUUGACGGUACCUAAUCAGAAAGCCACGGCUAACUACGUG
Molecule: ribosomal RNA, 497 nt
Filed under: uncultured bacterium
Lineage: Bacteria
Description: partial 16S ribosomal RNA
Rfam family: Bacterial small subunit ribosomal RNA
Source: RNAcentral